AUUCUGCCCAAGCGGAGAAGGAUGAGAAGCUUCGACUAAGGUUCGACUCGAGCGCCAGCGAGAGAGCGUUGCCGCAGGCAACGACCUGAAGGGCGAAGCGCGCAGCGCUGAGUAAUCCUUCCCGCACCACCA
RNAcentral lists this small RNA (132 nucleotides) under Escherichia coli. Its description in RNAcentral is "RtT sRNA". It matches the Rfam family "RtT RNA". Rfam says of the family: This family represents a bacterial cis-regulatory element known as RtT RNA. The exact function of RtT is unknown although it is thought that it may be involved in changing the cellular response in relation to amino acid starvation. RNAcentral also lists the same sequence under 2 other names. Lineage: Bacteria; Pseudomonadati; Pseudomonadota; Gammaproteobacteria; Enterobacterales; Enterobacteriaceae. The record is from RNAcentral.